Long non-coding RNA from Sardina pilchardus (European sardine), 731 nucleotides. RefSeq lists it as uncharacterized. The record is from RefSeq and is a predicted model, not a curated record. The transcript is spliced from 3 exons. NCBI's taxonomy places the organism in Eukaryota, Metazoa, Chordata, Actinopteri, Clupeiformes, Clupeidae.
GUAGCCAUAGACUGUAUAUAUAGACCUGGACAGUGUGUCGUCCGUUGGAAUUGAAGCAACCGCUAGUCCAGAGCCCCCUGGUGGCUGGCUGCAGUACAAUUCGUAGCUCCGCCCAUCCCCAUGUAUUUCAAUGGCCAAGUAGCCAACUUUCCGUGUCACUUUUCUCACCUAAAACUAAUUUUAUAUUUACAACAUGUUAUUCGAAAAAAUAGUUUUCAAUGUGCUUCAAUACACACCAUUUUUCUUUUCUCUGUGAAAUUAUUUUUUUUUAAGUUAUUUUAACAAAUCUAAAAAUUGCGUUGAUUGACAGUGCGUGACCGCAGCGUCAGCCGCUUGCAGCCGUUCAGUCCGUGGAGUAGCUGUAGGCUCGGCUGUGGUGGUGUUCGUUCGUCAGGCAACUUAUCAUAUUUGUUUUAUUUGCUGUUAUUACACUUUAUACAUUGACAGUCAUGUCGUGCUGUGCUGUUGGUUGUACUAACGGGCCAUCCCAGAGAAGCUCUGUGCAGUUUUUUUUCGUUUUCCUUUAGGUGUGCAGCAUGCAGACAGACUGGCUGGUGAACAUAAGACGACAAGACUGGGAGCCCAGCAAGUCAUCUCAUCUCUGUAGUCUUCAUUUUGAAGACCAUGAAUUCACCAUUGAUACCUAUGGGAAUCGUCUGACUUGCACUGCAGUACCAACUGUGUUCUCCCUUCCUGACCACCUGGUGAAGAGACCUGCUAGUAGAAAGGCA